AGCAGCCGCGGUAAUUCCAGCUCCAAUAGCGUAUAUUAAAGUUGUUGCAGUUAAAAAGCUCGUAGUUGAAUUUCGGGGUCAGCAGGUUGGUCGUGCCUCUGGUACGCACUGGUUUCGCUGAUUCCUCCUUUCUGAAGAACUGUAAUGUCAUUAAUUUGGUGUUGCAGGGAAACAGGACUGUUACUUUGAAAAAAUUAGAGUGUUUAAAGCAAGCUAACGCUUGAAUACAUUAGCAUGGAAUAAUGAAAUAGGACGUUUGAUCCUAUUUUGUUGGUUUCUAGGAUUGACGUAAUGAUUAAUAGGGAUAGUUGGGGGCAUUAGUAUUCAAUUGUCAGAGGUGAAAUUCUUGGAUUUAUUGAAGGCUAACUACUGCGAAAGCAUUUGCCAAGGAUGUUUUCAUUAAUCAAGAACGAAAGUUAGGGGAUCGAAGACGAUCAGAUACCGUCGUAGUCUUAACCAUAAACUAUGCCGACUAGGGAUCGGAUGAUGUUAAUUUUUUAAUGACUCA
Molecule: ribosomal RNA, 508 nt
Filed under: uncultured Glomeromycotina
Lineage: Eukaryota; Fungi; Glomeromycota
Description: SSU rRNA
Rfam family: Eukaryotic small subunit ribosomal RNA
Source: RNAcentral